This 265-nucleotide unclassified non-coding RNA is filed under the name Hevea brasiliensis (rubber tree). The record is from RNAcentral. Lineage: Eukaryota; Viridiplantae; Streptophyta; Magnoliopsida; Malpighiales; Euphorbiaceae.
UAGUGGCGACUGAAAUUGAAAGCAUCCAUUAUAUGGGUCCAUCGAUGAUGAUCAUUCAAUGUAUUAAAAGAUCUGUUAAAUAUAUUGUAAAUUACAAAGUACUAAUUUUUAUAUACAUUGUACAAUUGUCAGUGCUCUGAAAUGAACCUCAAUGAUGGCCAAGUACUGCGUUAUUUCACUUUGCAAAUUCCUAUUCUCCCUUUUAUUAACUGUUUCCUGAUUUCUGAUUUCCUAUAAUUUCCUUUUCAUGGAAAAGAAAAUCUUG